AGAUGAAAUAUCAGGAGGAAAGGGAAGGGUGAGUACUGACUCUAUAUCAUUUUCAAUUCCUGUUGAAUAAGGGUUCAAAUUGUAAAUUAAAGCCUACUCUUCCUUUCCCUCCCUCCCUCCCUUCUUUCCUCUCUCCCUCCCUUGCUUCUUCUCUCCCUUCCUUCUUUCUUUCUUUCUUUCUUUCUUUCUUUCUUUCUUUCUUUCUUUCUUUCUUUCUUUCUUUCUUUCUUUUUCUUUCUUUUUCUUUCUUUCUUUCUCUUUUUUUUUCUUUUUUGAGAUAGAGUCUUGCCCUGUCACCCAGGCUGGAGUGCGAUGGCAUGAUCUCAGCUCACAGCAACCUCCACCUCCCAGGUUCAAGCAAUUCCCUGCCUCAGCCUCCCGAGUAGCUGGGACUACAGGUGCACGCCACCACAUCUGGCUAAUUUUUUGUAUUUUAGUAGAGAUGGGGUUUCACCAUGUUGGCCAGGAUGAUCUCCAUCUCCUGACCUCGUGAUCCACCCGCCUAGGCCUCCCAAAGUGCUGGGAUUACAGGCAUGAGUCACCACACCCAGCCUCUCUUUCUUUCUUUUGUUCACAAAGUCAACAGUGGCUGAGUGCCCAUGUGUUUCACGGUGCUUGUCUAGUAUAUUUUUAAAAGGUGGCACCAGGGCGCUUCUGCUAAAAUGGGUCUGUUGUUCAUGGAGGAGCUGGGAGUAAUGGCUCUGGAAGUGUGGGGAGACCAACAGCUGACAGGGAUCAGCCCUUUCAGUCCAAGUGGGACACUGCUGCCUACAUUAUCUUCCUCACCUUCGUCAGCACCCUGUUGUUCUUGCUGUUGCUCAUUAUCAUCCACUGUUGCUGCAGCUGCUGCUGCAACUCCCAGAAAGUGAGCCCCCAGAACAAAAAAUUCCAGUAGGGUAGGUAACUUGGCCCUUGUACCUUAACACCAUGAGUCCCUGCCAGCCCCUUCCUGUAUGUCUUGCCUUGUAGCAAGUAACAAUCCCAUGCCUUGUGUUUACCUAGAAAAAUUAAUUAAAUUAAUGGUGAGUCACAUAUUUAGAAAAUAAGAGUUUUUGCAGACCUGCGUUUGUAGAUUGAGAUCCAUUCCUGUCAUUAAGACUGAUCUUGCCAUUGUAAAUAGAGAUAUACAAAACUACAAAGAGAUUUGUGGAAUCCCAACUGGAUUCUAUUUAAAUAUCAAUAAGAGCUGAGCCUGGCCUGCUCAGAAGAAUAAGAAGAUAAUUUAGAAUAAAAUAAAGCCAUUGAAAGAGUAAAUCAAUCCAAUCUCAAAGUGAAAGAACCUAGGAGAGGGGUUACAGACCCAGAUUUCACUAGAAUUAGGGACGUGAACAUGGGACCCUUUCUGGCUAUGAAAUUCCUGUAACUAGGCCUCGUAACUGGGCCUCAGUAUGUUGGGAGAACACAAAACCCUGAGUCCCAGCCAAAUCCAGAGUCAAUUUGUAUCCUCAGUGACCUCCUCCUGAAAAAUAAGACCAAAUGUUUGGUGUGGUAUAACUGUCUGCUUCAUCUGCCC
RNAcentral lists this long non-coding RNA (1513 nucleotides) under Homo sapiens (human). RNAcentral describes it as "non-protein coding LINC01932:6". Lineage: Eukaryota; Metazoa; Chordata; Mammalia; Primates; Hominidae. The record is from RNAcentral.